ACCGAGCAGGAAGUUGUAGUGGCGAUGGUGCAGAGGGAGAGCGCGCUGAAAGAAGUUAAAUACGGCAUGUUUUUUGCGUUUUUGAGGAUGGAGGGUCAUAUUUAUUGCGUUGCUGAAGAAAGAGCACCAGCACCUGAAUCUACGUCAUCAAAGAAAAGGAAAUACGGCACCGAAAAACGUGUUUCGCGGCAGACGCCGGAAGAUAACGACAAUAAACAUCGCUGUUACCGAGUGGAGUAGGUUAUUUCACAUACUUCUCUACAUGUUAUGUGUAGUUUUAUAUCUGUAACUAGAACACACGCCAGCGUUUUGUGUUUGUAUUUCGUGGCUAUAGUUACUAAUGCACAUAACGUGAGCCACUUCAACUCCGAUCGAAUAGAAACAUCGUAAAGUCAUGAAAUAUUCUACUCUGACAUAAUAACAUUAGUGCUUUCGGAAGCAUUUCGUGUUAUAUUGUACGUUUUUCGACCUAGUCUUGUUGUGGGUUUGUGUAGGUGAGCAGACCCUCCCUCUCUUAGCAGGUAUCACAUUAGCUGCAGAACUUUAGCAGGUAACACGUUAGCUGCCAAACUUUAGCAGAUAACACAUUAGCCGCCACUUUAGCAGGUAAAACGUAAGCUGCCACUUUAGUAGGUAACACGUUAGCUGUCACUUUAGCGGGUAACACGUUAGCUGCCAAACUUUAGCAGGUAACACGUUAGCUGCCAAACUUUAUCAGGUAACCCGUUUGCUGUCACUUUAGCAUGUACGUUUACCUGCUAAAAUAGCAGCUAACGUGUUACCUGCUAACGUGCUAGGGGAGUGUUAAAGGUAACAGACGUGGUUCAGAAAUGUUUGAACAGAUGAAGGUUUACCUCACUUUCAAAUCCAGGUGAUGAGAAGGACGACAGUUCCGAUGAGAAGCAUCUUCCACCAGUCACAGUGUCAGACCAACUGCUUCGUCUUCAGUCGUCCAGUGUAUGAGGACAGCAUUCUGCCCUCAAAAGAAGAGAAGACCUAAACCUUCAUCCCUGAGCUACAAGCAAGGACCGUGUAGAGGGCUCAACCCAGGAGUGAGGACGCGUCAACAUCAGAGACAUUGACCAGGUGACCACGGACGGCCUGAUUUAGUUCAACCCAGCCCUGCACCGUCCACGUCAGUGUUGAAGUCAGGAGAGGUCUGGGACCUGACUUGACUGGGCUGAAUGAGGUGAAACUUUUUGAAAUGCAACUGGCACAAAGAUGGAACAUACUGUAUUUUUGUUGUUAGUAUUUAAUAUAAGAAAUCAUUGCCAUUUUAGCUGAUGUCUAAUUUUAUUAGCCUUGGUGGUUUUGAUAUUCGACCUGCAAUUUAACAUGGGCCUGUUAUUAUUUCUAUUUGAGAAUAUAAGAAAGAAAGAUGCCUUUUGUUUACUUCACAGGAGAGAAACUGUGUUUGAAAUUUAAAGAAAGCCAAUAAAACAGUUUUUUGAAUUUAAAUA
Long non-coding RNA from Solea senegalensis (Senegalese sole), 1460 nucleotides. RefSeq lists it as uncharacterized. Lineage: Eukaryota; Metazoa; Chordata; Actinopteri; Pleuronectiformes; Soleidae. The transcript has 3 exons. The record is from RefSeq and is a predicted model, not a curated record.